GGGCAAAGAAAAUCAUUGUAUCUAUUUUGGAUAAUGUGCAUGGCAUGUUGUUCAUAUCAUCAGCAGUAAGGAAUAAUUAUGGAAUAAAUGAGACAGCAAGUUUCAAAAUAGCAGUAGGACAUCAGUAAGGAAUAAAUGAGACUUCGGGUCAAGCUACUGAUAUUAAGGUGAUUUUUUCUUUUCAUAUACUGCUAUGUUGCUGUCAGUACCAGGUGUUCUUGCAUUUCUAGUUUCUGUUGGCUUGCUGUUCAGGUGUUCUUAUGUUUAUUUGGUGGGAUUUCAAGCCACUUAUGUUACAUUUUGUCCAAAACUCAUGAAGACUGAAGGUAUGCCUGUAAAAUCUUCAGUGUUAGGGACCAAUGGAUCAUCUGGCAUAAUUUUGGAAAACAACGGAUUGUCAGUGUUUUGCUGCUGAUCAUGUUUGAAGUUUUGCCAUCCAGGUAUACUUGCAGCUGAUAGGUUUGCAGUUUUUCAAUUCAGUCUACAUUCUAAUAAUACAAGGUAUUCUUGCAUCUGUCAUAACUGUUGUUGUUUAAUGGCAUAUAGGAUCUUCAGAAGAAUAUCAGUGCAUGUGUGGAGCCAGUUUAGAGCAUAGGCAGCAGUAGCACUCUCAAGGUAAUGCAUUGCAGGUCAUGUAUAAUUUUGAAACUGUAAAAUUCCACUAUGGCACUAAGGUGCAUGAUCGUAGCCUAUAUUUAUAAAUAACACUAGUUUAUUACGUGUUCCAUCUUGGUAUAACAUUAAUAUGUAAAUUACCUUUAUUAACAGUGAAUCAGGAUGUCGAUUAAUGCCGGGAAUUUACUUGGUGCCCCCAACUAUUUACAUGCGAAACCUGCCUAUCUACUGAUGGGACU
RNAcentral lists this long non-coding RNA (854 nucleotides) under Triticum aestivum (bread wheat). Its description in RNAcentral is "long non-coding RNA (TAES_LNC023467)". The record is from RNAcentral. Lineage: Eukaryota; Viridiplantae; Streptophyta; Magnoliopsida; Poales; Poaceae.